Molecule: non-coding RNA, 74 nt
Organism: Podarcis lilfordi (Lilford's wall lizard)
Lineage: Eukaryota; Metazoa; Chordata; Lepidosauria; Squamata; Lacertidae
Source: the annotation of a GenBank genome assembly
GUCUAAAUCGCUCAGUUGGCAGAGCCCGAGCCUCUGAAUCUCAGGGCGGUGGGUUCGAAACCCCACAUUGGGCA